Perca fluviatilis (European perch) is the source of this 491-nucleotide long non-coding RNA. RefSeq lists it as uncharacterized. The record is from RefSeq and is a predicted model, not a curated record. The transcript has 4 exons. NCBI's taxonomy places the organism in Eukaryota, Metazoa, Chordata, Actinopteri, Perciformes, Percidae.
UUUCGUGAGCCUCAACCUCUUCGCCUCAUUGUUUGACGUUCCUGGAUCCGUCAUACGUUCCUGCUUCCUUCCUGUUGUCUUGUUGUUCUUAGCCUCAUUGCUCUUACCUUUCGUGAGCCUCAACCUCUUCGCCUCAUUGUUUGACGUUCCUGGAUCCGUCAUACGUUCCUGCUUCCUUCCUACGUUCCUGGAUCCGGAGCCUCAUUGCUCUUACCUUUCGUGAGCCUCAACCUCUUCGCCUCAUUGUUUGACGUUCCUGGAUCCGUCAUACGUUCCUGCUUCCUUCCUACGUUCCUGGAUCCGGAGCCUCAUUGCUCUUACCUUUCGUGAGCCUCAACCUCUUCGCCUCAUUGUUUGACGUUCCUGGAUCCGUCAUACGUUCCUGCUUCCUUCCUACCUUCCUGGAUCCGGAGCCUCAUUGCUCUUACCUUUCGUGAGCCUCAACCUCUUCGCCUCAUUGUUUGACGUUCCUGGAUCCGUCAUACGUUCCU